GGCACCGUGGCUUAGUUGGCAAAGCGCCUGUCUAGUAAACAGGAGAUCGGGAGUUCGAUUCUCCCCGGGGCCU
Molecule: transfer RNA, 73 nt
Filed under: Aphidius gifuensis
Lineage: Eukaryota; Metazoa; Arthropoda; Insecta; Hymenoptera; Braconidae
Description: tRNA-Thr
Rfam family: tRNA
About the family: Transfer RNA (tRNA) molecules are approximately 80 nucleotides in length. Their secondary structure includes four short double-helical elements and three loops (D, anti-codon, and T loops).
Source: Rfam by way of RNAcentral